GUGCGUCAGCCCCGCUGUUUAAUGGGGUGCCGGGACCGCAGGGGCGCCGAGCGGCCGCCCCCCCCCCCCGCCCCACACGUGUGGCUCUCAUUACUGUGAGGAGGUGUCAAGGCGGCAUAAUUAGGCGCGGUUCCCACAUCCCUGCGGCCUGGGCUCUGGCUCCGUGGCAGGGAGCCCAGGCAGGGGCCGGGGCUGCCGGCCGGGGCAUCUAAGGGACUCCGCCAGUUUCCACCUCGCUGAGCAAAAAGAUGAAUGGGGCUCUGUCCCCCACAUGGGGUCUGGAAUCCUCAAUUACGGCAAUUACAUCAACAGGUCUCUGCUGCAGAGGCUGGGGCUUAGGAGAAGAAUCCUGAAGCUACGGUGGGGUUUUCCCUGUCUUUGAAAGGCACGGCGGAUGAAAGGAGGCUCCAUCUCCAUCUAAUUGGGCUCUGGGUGGGGAAGGAGGGUGGGUUUGUUUUCUCGCAGGGCCUGGUGCUUUCUCCCUGGGUCCCCAGCGCGCAGGGCGGCAGGCAGCCAUCGAGAUGGUCUUGGUGUGGUAUCAGAAGAACGGAUUGCUUGGGAAGGUCAUUUCAUCUCGCUGAUCCUCAAUGUCCACAUCUGUAAAACGGGCACAACGCAUGCCACGAUGCCCUCCUUCCUAAGAUCUCAAAGGCUCUGGUGCUACCUGGGCUCAAAACCACUGGAUAUUUCCUGUCUCACCUUCCUGGCUAGGCAGGCAGGACUCCAAAGGUAGCUCUUGUGCCCAAAGCGUGGCAGUCACCUGGAGUUAGAGGGGGUUGCAGGCCCACCCAGACCCACAACUUACCCACCUCAAGUGUCAGCAAGUGCAUGCAGGAGAGGGAACCUGUGGCCUUGCUCUCGUCUGGAGAACAAGGUUAGUGAUGUUUGUUCUUUUCUGCAUGAGAAAUGCUGUGAUGAAAAAGAGGUUUAUAGGGGGAAAGGUAUUUUAUCCAGUCUUUCCUUCAUUCACUCAAUGAACAUUUGCUGAGCAGCUACCACAAGGUAGGUGUGGGCUUUGUGAAUUAUAGUCAGUUCUUAGACACAUUUUCAAGUAUUUUUCUUCCUAUUUUUUUGUUUGUUUGGUUGGUUGAUGUUUUUGAGAUGGUUUCGCUAUGUAGUUCAGGCUGGCCUUGAACUCGUGGCAGUCCUCCUGUCUCAGCUUCCCAAAUGUGGGGAUUACAGGCUGACCUUGAACUCACAGCAAUCUUCCUGCCUCAGCCUCCUGAGUGCUGGAAUAUCAGGCAAAUACUGGCACACCCUGCAGGAGUGUGGGGUGAUUUUCAGGUUUUGUCAUUUAUGUGUGUGAGCCAGGUGUAAGACAAGCAGGCACCCAGGGCCACUGAGAGCACCACGUCAGCAUGUUUAGCAGCUAGCCAAAGCAUCACCUGUGAGAGGUCACUGUCCUGCUCCUCAAGGCCACUCUGUGUGUCCACAGCAGCAGUGACAGCCUGUGCCUUUCCAAGGCAGGACCUGAGAACACACCCUCCAGUGCACCCCAGGGAGGCAGCCUCCAUGCAGGAGAGCAAGAGCUCAGGGCUAAGCCUCCUGAGAGGCCACAUCGCCGGGGAGGCUCAGCCUGACCCCAGCCGGAUGGACUCGAGUCAGUGUGGUGGCAGGAGGAACCAGCUUCCUGGCCUGGGCGCCCACCCUGGCACGAGCAAAGGCCUAGUGCUCCAAGGCAGGGCACCUGUGCCUGGCUGGACGGGUGAGGAUGCUUGGUGCCCUCCAUGGUGGCUCCUCUGUGUGUGGGGACAGUGGAAUGUGGGCCACCAGGAGCCUUUCCCUGGGUUCCAAGCGUUGAUUGCUUGUGUUGGACGGCACCCUUUGGGUGCUGAGUUAAUGUUUGACUACACUUGCAAACACAGGGUAUCUGUUUGUCUCCGGCGAGGAUGCAGGGCACAUGGGCUUUGGCACCGCUACCCUGGGGACUGCUGCUCAUUCUCUUUGGGCAUAGGAAAGAGGCAGUGCCUUACCAUGGUCCUUCUGGGUUCUCUGUGGAUGGAGGUGGUGGCUACUGUUGGACAAAAAUGAUCCUGGGGGAUGGUGGCUCUGGGCUUGAGAAGUAGUGUCAUGCCAGUGACGGAACCUGAAAUCUAGGAUUGGAACUGAAUUCAAGUCUGUGUACUUCCUUUUCUAUUUCUUUUCUUUUUUUUUUUUUUUUUUUUUUUUUGAGACAGGCUCUUCCUAUGUAGUGCAGGCUGACCUUGAACUCUCUGUGUAACCCAAACCCAAACUGGCUCAAACUUGUGCGGAUCCUCCUGCCUCAGCCUAGAGUGUGCUGGGAUUACAGAUGUGCACCACCGUGCUCAGUUUCUCAGCUCCAUUCUGCUGGGCCUUUUGGAUGGGGCCCUCAUUAGUCCCAGCCACAGCCUCAAGUCCAAGGGCAGUGACUGAUUACAGCCGGACUAUUGCUCUGGCCACUGGGCACAUACAUGUUACCAUCCUGGGGGGACUGGCAUUAGUGUGCAGGGAAGAACUUCUUUCAGGGUUUCAGGAGUGGCAUGGCCCUAUUUUCCCUUGUAAGAGUUUUGUUUUGUUUUGUUUUACCACUGUGGAAGCAGCUCUGAAGAUCUUUCCAGUGAACACAGAAGCACCUGCCUCACUGAGCACAGGGUGUCAGCAGGGCGACUACGGGGCCCUAAGAGCGUCUCCCACAGCACUAGGGCAAACUCUCCCCUUGCUCCCGGGGCCACCUUGAAAUGCCCACCUCCUGUUCUGACUUGGCGCCCCUCUCUGGAGAGUGAGGGCCAUUGUGAUCUCAACCCAGGCAACACCCAGCCACUCUCAGGAUCUGGGUGUCAAGGUGUGAAGAUUGUGCCUGCACUCACUGCUCUAAGCACCGUGCAGGCCCUGCAAGUGUUGUGUUUCAGGGCAUUUGGGGCUGACGCCCAUCUCUUCCCCUGGAAGAGCCACUCACUUUCCAGGCCUGGGAAAGCACCACUGCCAGCGGCAUCUGACCUUCUCUGCCCCGUGCCCUCUCCCUAGCAAGGCUGUAGCUUGCAGGUGGUGGGGAGACUCAAGAGUUCCCCAAAGUCACUUCACUGGGAGUCUGGCUCUCCAGAUGUGCCACCAUAAACACAUCUGACACUUCAGCCCCCAAUUCCAUUGAGCUCAACGAGGGUGCAGGGUGUGUCCAGGGAGCUGUCUGGAAGCACUUGUAGCUCCUUCCUUUGAACCUUUGGGUGUACAUUUCUCCAGUCCUGGAUACUUCUCAAGUGUUUGCUAUGCAUCAGAGCUGGGCUCAGGGCCCUGCCUUAGCUCCUGUCUGGUGUAGAAAGGACAGGUAUGUAAUGCUGUGUAACAAGCAAUCCCCAAGUGUCAGUAAACAAUGAACUUCCAUUUUUCCUUCGGCUCCCUUGGAAACUCGGCUUUCCAAGAAAGGGAUCUGUUCCUGCCAUCAGAGGGUGCCCUCCUCGGUGCCCACAGCAGCUGCACCCCGUUGGACCUGCCACUUGGGGGGAGACAGUAUGGAGAGUUUACACCCCUGAGGAAGGCUUCCUACCGGAAGUCACACUGCCACUCCUGGCGGCAAGCAGGGCACAGCGGUGGACUCCUUCCCCGGGCCUGUGCACAAAGAACUGGGCCUGAGGUUGAAAGGGCCAUGCGGGAUUUGAAGUGCAGAAGCCCUAGAGAAGGUUUGCUGCUUCUCCUGCUUCACCUUCACACAUACACUCACACUCACACACUCGCACGCACACACACACACACACACACACACACACACACACACACAUACACAAUGGCGGAGCGCUGCAGCCCAGUAGUCAGAUGAUGGACAGCGUGUUUUGGCAGUUCAGAGAGCCGGUCCAGAUGGAGACAUCCGGCCAGGAGGGUGGAGGGAGGCGGCACCUCUUGCUUCUGGGGCUUGCAGACGCUGGACUUGGGCGUUUUGUGCGUGGUAUCUCGGUGGGUGGCUUCUCACACCUGCAGAACCAACUGCAAAGCCCAUUCAGUCCACACUCUUGACUUAGCACGUGUGCUGUUCCCACCCCAGGGAAGUCUGGAGGCCUGGGGGUGGGAGGGGAAGUGGUUUGUAACUCGGUUUGACCAAGGAGCUUUCCUGGAAUGGACCCUGGGGAGAAAUCCGAUGCAGCAGGGUCAAUUAGGAGCUGGGUUUACUGUAGAUCCAGCGGGGCCUCCCCCUCCCCUCUCGCCUCACCAGCCCUCUCCGGCUGCGUCCCCGCCCCCACUCUGGUCCCUUGCCCGCCUUGCCUGGGCCAGAUCAGAGCUGAUGUGGGGGGUGGGGCAGAGCACACAGGUUUUGGCUCCCGGGGUCUCACAGCAUAAGGAUGGAAGGGAUAAGGUUGCAGGCUCCAGGGCCCCAGUGUUUGCAUAGAAACUCAAGAAGAAUCCUCCGGGAUGGGCAGAGGGAUGUGGGCUGACCCGUGGAGGGGUGUGGGUAACCGGAGUCAAAGAAAAUAAGCAAACUGCACGGCAUAGGCACCCAGAAAGCAGACCGCCGGGAGCUUGGGGUAUGUGGCCAUGCAGAGCAGUGGAUGGUGGGGACUGGGCCAAUCCAAUCUGGUCAGUGGGCAGUGCCCUGGGCUGGGCCAGUUGCCCCUCAGUGGCCCAGCUGUUUGCACCUGGCCAUGCUUGCAGCUGUCUCCAGCAAGCUGGCCCUGACCCAGGCAGAAGUUGGGCUUCACUGGUCUUCCUGCCCCUCCUAACACCUAGGGAUGGGGACAGGCUCUGUGGACCUCAAGGGUGGUUUGGGUGAAGCCAAAUUGCUGCAGAGCUGGAAGCCGCUCUGGACCCAGCACCAGCUGAGGUUUGGUGGCCACCGGCUCUUCCGGAUCCUUGGGCUACAGACACAGGGGCCAAGAUGCUUCCUCUGGGGCUCCAGGGGCAAGCGUGUCCUGCUCCUCUGCACAGUCCACGGUCUCAGAGCUGAUGUGGACCCCAGCCGGCUGCUGGGCCUGUGGUUGUCAGCCUCCUGGGCGUCACCUGGGAGGCUGAGAAAAAGGUGGAUUCCCAGGCUCUGAGCGUGGAAGUUCUAGGCUCUGAUGUUGGCCUUGCCCCCACCCAGCUGUUGGCUCUGCAGGUCCCACGCUCAGAGGGGAGACUGAGUCAGUUCCCUGGGGCAGCAGAGCCCAGCAGUGCUUGUGCCUGGCAACCGCCUUGCCCCUGGAAUUUACUGUGCUCAUUAAGUCCGAGGCUCCAGACCCGCCCUUGCUGGGCUCUCCCGGCAGGUCCCUGCCAGGGCAGGUUUCUGCACUGGCCCACUUCUGUGCCAUCCAGGGAAAGGAAGCCUUUCCCUGAUAGGUGACACCAUCCCCUGUUCCUUAGGCCCUUAGGAUGCUUCCCUGAGCGCCGGGGGAGCUGCGAGCCUGGAAUACAGCCAGGCACUUGACAGAGAGGCUGCAGGCACACACUUCCCACCCCUCCCUGUAUGCACAAGCGUGCACACACACGCGUGUCCACAUGCACACUGGGCCUGGCUGCAGAGUACGCUCUCCUGGAGGGACCAAGACCUGGGACGUCACUCGGGGGAAACACUUUCAUUUUCAUUUCUACAUUUCAAGAAGAUUCUCCCUAAAAGAUUGCUGGUCUCCUUGUAACUGCCUGGGAAGCUGAGGUCACAGGCUGGAGCCUCUCAUCCACACCUACCCUGCAUGACGAGGUCAGGGACAGAGACUCUGGGUAUCUGAUGGUAACAGGUCCCAGUGCUUGGAAUGAACUAUAAACUGUUCAGACAAUAACUUGUAUGUGUGUGUGUAUGUGUGCAUAAGUGUGCAUGUGUGUAUGAAAUGGGGUUCAUGGGUCCAUAUUCAUGGAUUGAACCACAGAUUGAAAGCAUUCAGAAAAAAAAUGCAGGGCCAGGGAUGUAGCUCAGCACACAGUGCCUACCUGGCAAGCACAAGGUCCUGAGUUCGAUUCCUGAUACCACAAAAAAGAAAAGAAAAAAUGCACCUACACUGAGCGGGUAGACUUUUUUCCUGUUGCUAUGUCCUCAGCAAGGCCGCGCAGUGAGGAUGCCUCUAAGACCCACAUUGUUCUGGAGGUGGCUUAACGUGGGUGGAGGGUUUGCACAAGUUAUAUGCAAAUGCUGUGUCAUUUUAUUGAUUUAUUUGUUAUUUAUAUUUCAGAUGGGCUUGAAAUCUGUUACCCAGUCUGGUUUUGAAUUCCUGGGCUCACGCCAGUCUCCUGCCAUGGCUUCCUGAGUCGCUGGGGCCACAGGCGCCUGCUGCCAUGCCUGGCCACUGUGCCACCUCACACCCUGGAUCUGAGCAUCCAAGAAUUUGGGUGCCUGGAAGGUCCUGGAGCCCACCCCUCACAAAUACCGAGGGGUGACUGUGUGGGUGGAGAGGAACAGGAAAUACACAUGGUGUCCAGGGUAGAGGAUAAAAGGUUAACAAGACAUCAUAAAACAGACACAAGUGAUCUUUGUACUAUUUUUAUUUUUGCGAUUUUUUAACCGUUCAAAAUUUAUUUUUCUGAAUAAAAUCAUCUAUACAGGGUAUGUGGUUUGUUCAAGGACACAGAGCAGAGGAGCAGGUGGCUGAGUGGUUUGCAGGAAUAUCCUGCUGGUCACUGCUUACCAUCUCUGGAUUUCCACGUUUUAAACUCAGUUUCAGUGCCAGCUGUCCUGGCUUCUUCGUGAUGUGUCCACAUUUCCUGUACUUGUCUUUCCUCUUAGGGUGGCAGGCAGAAGUGAAUUCUUUCUUGGUUGUUUUUUAUUUGCUUGUUUGAGACAGAGUCUUGCUAGCUGUUUUAGGCUGGUCUUGAACAGUGACCGUCCUCCUGCCUCAGCCUCCUAAGUACUGGGAUUCAAGGUAUGUGCCACCAUGCUCGGCUCGAAGUGAAUUGUUUUACCUUUCCUUUCUUCUUCUUUUGCUACCUGUAAGGUCUGUGUGAAGUACCUUGUCUGUCUAUUCCAGGCCAAAUCCCAAGGGCUGCAAUAUAAUAGUUGCCCAAGAAAUAUUUCUCAGAAGAGUUGAUGGGGAAGUGAAGGGAAGCCAGAGCUGGCCCAGACACACACAGGUGUCACGUGCGGGCUGGAGAUGCUAGAAAGGGGACCGCGGUUGGCAGGGUGGUGUCACAGUCUUGGAGGUGGCCUUCUGAGAAUGACUGACGUCCUUUGGGAGGCCCUCUCCUUGCUAGCACCCCCUCCCCCCGCCUAGAGGCUCUGUGGGACAAAGGACACUGUUGUGGCAGAUGGUGAGGGGGUCCCAGGGACGUCGGGCUGUGUGGGGCACAGUGCCAGGUGGGAUCUGCCACCUUCUGGAAACAGAGGAGUCCUAGACCAUCCCUGGGUAUCAUGCCUGCAUGCCCUGGGCUUCUGCCAGGCCACCCUGUUUCCCCAUGCGGAAUGGUAGCCAUGCCAAAGGUGCCCUGCAACUUUCCUCCUGUCCCUGGGGUGCAGGGCCCCAGGCUGCUGCAGCCCAGGGCUACACAGGCCCCCAGGCCAAAGUGCACCCAGGAGCCUGGGCAUUUUUAUGUUAACGUGGAACACCAAUGCACACACUUAUUCAAAUCCCCCAACGCAGGGACUCAUGUGGUAUGGAGUGUGCCCCUUCCACCCUGCCCUCCCUGUGCCCAGCUGCCCUACUGAUGUUCUUAGUUUCUGAGGAGAAUGUCCAUGGGUAGUUUGUCUGCUUACUUAUUUUGUUUCUUGAGAUGAGGGUCCCACUAUAUCAUUCAGGUUGUCCUUCAACUCACUAGGUAGCUCAGGUCGGCCUUUAACUUGCAGUGAUCCUCUUGCCUCAGCCUCCUACGCACGAGGAUUACAGGGGUGCACCCCCACGCCAGCACGACGGGUAGUUCAGGGAUGCACAACUGAAUGUAUAUCAGUGUAGAUUUCUAGUCACUCUGUUUGCGUCUUGCCUUGUGCACUUAAUGGCAGGUUGAGGUGCUCGCCUUUAUUCCUAAGAGCUCAUGGAAGUCUCUGUGUUUGGUUUCCUGGGGCUUGGGGCUGUCUUGUAUAUGCAGGUAUCAAUAGACAACCGAAAAUGCGCACAGGUCUGUGAUCAAAGGAGCCCGCUCUCAACCUCCCCUGCCACGCUCCCCUGCCAGCAGAAGGGGGACCCUGUGUUUCCACAGGGAGAGAAGGGCACUCGGGAAUCACAGAGCGAGGUGCGGGGACCUCGCAUCAGCGCAGUCCAGCGUGGUGACCACCAGCUGCCCAUUCCUAAUGUGGUCACGAAGGCAAAGUACUACGGGUCUGCCCAACUGGAUCGUGCUCUGAGGUAUCCCAUUGUCCUUGCCGCUUUCUGAAGAAGUUCAGGAGUCCACUUCCUAAGGUCUUUAUGCGUGUGACCACGGCUACCGAACAUGGCCCCACGGAAAGGCAGCUCGUGAAAACGUUCCCGGGCAUCCUCCUCCACCUGAGCCACCGGACCUGCACCAUACUGCUUCUGGCUCUUCUCCAAAAUCAAAAUGACCAGGAAAGGUUAACAUUUUGUUGAUUUUGAGAUGAAGUCUUGCUGUGAAGCCCAGGCUGGUUUUGAACUCAUAGUGAUCCUCCUGCCUCAGCCUCCCGAGUGCUGGGAUGACAGGCAUGUGCUACUUUUUUUUUUUUACAGGUGGGUAAUGACGUUUCCAUGAAGGUUGAGGCUUCGGGCAUCAGGAAAAGCGAGUGGCGUCACUGGUUUCUGCGGCCUUCACUCCAACUCUAGAGUCUAGAGGCUGGGGGAGAGCGAGGCUCUGUCACCUUUUUGGCUUCCAGAGUUGGGGCUCAUCUGCCUGGGGCCAGAAAAGCCAGAGUGGCCGCCCCGAGCGAGCUGGCAUCGAGCAGCCCCUAAAUUCUUCCUGCUAGGGUGGGGGAGGCUGCGCACGGGGAUUUUCACAGAUUACACUCCAAGUGCGACCUCCGCAGGGCGGCUGGGUUCCCACAGGGACUGAUCCAUGCUGAGGGGCCCUCGGGAGCCAGACUGGGCUGCCUCUUUCUCCCGGGCAGCAGUGCACACAGUUUUUAAUAAUUAAGUAACUUUAAUUGUCCUGGGAAAGCCGAGCUCGCCUUGGGGCACGCAGCGCAAACUCAUAAUUAAUGUUACCAAGAGAGAUUAGCAGAGGAGGGCUGAGAAAUGAUUCACUUUUUAAAAAGCGCCUCACUGUUAAGCCUUAUUAUCCUGAGUUUAGAACCUCAUUUAUCUGCUUUGAGGAGCAAGGAGGAGGGGGAAGAGAAAAAGGCCUGAGACCCCAGAGACGACGGCAUGGGAAACGAAACCUGCACACUUUUGUCAUGUGCUUAAAAAGCAUCAGACAGGAGGAAAAUGUUGCCAUUUAUCAAUCGUGUUCUGGUGACUUGGGGGAAUUUAAGAAAUUCAGAGAAACUGAAUUAGGAACGGAUGACAGUGCGUGCACUUUAAAAAAAAAAAAAGUGAUAUCCUUCUCUGCUUAGAAAUGAUCUCUUUUGGGGACUUGUAGAAUGGCUUUUUCUCUCUGGUUCUUUAUGAAAGCCAGGCCAAACUGUGUGAUUUUCAGUGACUGUUUAGGAAGUGGUGUGUUUGGUAAGUACUGGGUGAAAUCAUGAGAGAGAGUCUCAAAGGAGAGGUUGUCCUGGCACAGAGAGCAACGGUCAAUGUUAAGGGCAAGCCCAGUGGGGCCUGGGGAAGAAAAUCAGGGGCAAAAAGUGCAGUAGCUCCGAGCGUGGUGGUGGUACACGCCGCAGUACCAGCACUCAGGAGGCUGAGGCAGGGGGAUCUCUGAGUUCACAGAGAUCUCUGUGAGCUACACAGUGAGACCUUGUCUCAAAAACCAAAAACUAAAAGUGCUGUAGCAAUGAUAGAGCUGGGGAGGGGACGGGGAGAGGCCUUGAACAUGCGGGGCAGAGUUACAAGGCUCUUCUGUGUGAUUGGUGGUGGGAAGGUGGGAUAUUAUGGGGUCCCUUGUGUGCUUUGUUUCCCAAAUAUUUGUCUCCUACAUUAUGAGCAUCUAGGCUAGACUCAGAUUUGCAACCCUCCUGCCUCAGCUUCCCAUUCUGCAGGGAAACUUUUUGAGGGUCCUUCUUUUCUUCUGGCUCCUCUGCACUCGGAUCCUCCCCAGAGGCACUGAACUCCUGAGGUGCUCUUCCUGCCAAAGGGUGUCCUGUACAGUGGGCACAAAGGUGCCCAGUCCCUUCCCUGACUGCUGGUGGUCAGUCACUGCCCACGAGGGGAUGGCUGAGCAUGCCAGGUCUCCCUCCUCCCCUGCUUUUGGAGGUGACCAGAAUGCAAGCUGCUCUAGCCAGCCCUCCCUGCGGCUGUCCCUUUGUGACCUCAGGGGGUCUAGCUUCUGGGCCAGAGUUGUCUGAAGUGAGCAUGAGGCCUCAGGGGAGGCUGAGGCAGGCAACCGACUCAGGCUCAAGGUAGAGGGGAAGGUGUGGGCUGGCCAGGCUCCAGGCAGAACGCCUGACUCCUCCUGAUGGAAGCUGUGGGGGCAGGUUGGAGACCGCACUCCCGUAAUGAAUAGCCAGGGCGGCUAUAACACCCAGGCUGAUGGGGGACACUCGGAAGUGAGCAGUGUGCCUCCAUAGCUCAGCCCGGUGCAAGCCACACAUCCUGCGCCUGCGCCUCGCUCUCUGCUCUUAAACCGGGUCACAGAGGCAGUUCAGGGAGAAUGCAGACUGUGCAGCCAAACUGUAAAAACGGCCGAUUAGCAUUUCAUUUUAUUUAGCGAUUUUUUCCCCCUUUGGAUAUACUAGGGAUUAAACCUGGGGCCUUCACACCACCCCACUUCAGUCCUGUUUUCAGUUUUUAUUUUAAGACAGGGUCUUGCUAAGCACUAACUUGCCCAGGCUGAGCUCAAACUCACCAUCCUCCUGCCUCAGCCUCCCAGAGUACUGGUUUACAGGUGUAAGAAUAUUUGCCAACUGGACAUUGGGUGAUUUUCAUUGUUUUGCCAUUUGUGGGUUUCCUUAGGGGCCAAGUCUUAUCAUUAUCUGUUAACGUAAUUCUGGAGACAGACCAGGGACAGUGGGAGCCUAUCUCAGGUGUGUGUGACUUCACCUCUUGACCUUGGGCAAGUGCUCCUGGCUUCCGGCCCUCAGUUUGAUCGUUUGUCUAAGAGAGGCAUCGGGCUUCCCCUGCGCUCUAUAGAACUUUGCUUGUGGUCUGUGUGUGACCCCAAAGCCCAGGUGCCUCAGAGCUCCUCUCUGGGGUCAGCAGCGCUGGGCUGCUGGCGAGGCCCCGGCCGGGGACAGGUUCACCUUUCCCUGCACCGUCCCCGCCCGUGACCCAGCAGCCUCUGCAAGUCUGGCCUUGCUGGGCCUGCAGCAUGGCUCCCCACCGCCGGUGCGGCCAGGCGAGACACCUUUCUUGGCAGCACUCUCCAGGGCUCCCGGAAUGUCUGAUUACUCACAGGCUUGCGACAGCACGGAGGUCUCCAGCGCGUAGGGAGGCAGCUGUGGCUUCCUUCCCGAUGACCUCAGCCCGUGGGGUGGGCUCACCUGGUCUCUGGACACUGAAGAGACUCAGCCCGGAACAGGAGGCUCCCCACAACCUUGACUGUGGAAUGGCUGGGUCUGAGUGGCCUUGAUCCCUGGGGUCUGACAGCAUCAGUAACAUGCCCAACGCGUCCCUCCUGGUCUUCUGUGUUCCUGGCAGGAUCUGCAGCCAUAAAUCAUUUCUGGUGGCUGCUGCCGAAUACCAGCCCUGGAAAAGGCUGCAAAGAGAGGAUCCUCACCAAGGCUGUAGAAAAAGAAUCUUUUAAGAGCGUUAUCUAUCUAUCGACGCACGUUCAGGCCCUGACGGUGACCUGGAGCUGCGCUGCCUCUCCAUCACCCAGGAAAUGACAGGGUCGCGAGGAGUCUGAAGCGCCUCCCAGUUCUGCCCGUGGAUUCCUGACCAUUGUCUGGAUUUGGGGAACAUCUCCCUUGAGUAGUCACCAGCUGUCUGUCUGCCUUUUGUGAUUCCUGUCCUGUCCUAUGAGAGGAGGGAGCUGAGCUUUUGAAUCUUGGUCAUCACAAACGUAUAAUACAAAAACAGAACUGAAGGUGUUUCUGCAAUCUUUGGAUGAGAAUCUUAGAAAUUCUUGAGAAAUAUCGUUAAGUUUUAUGUUGGGACAGCUAGAGGCAGGAUGUCAGAGAAGUGACCAGCAGUCCACAGAGGCUGUCCUGAAUGUUUUGUUUUAAAUGAGGUCUGGCUACGUACGUGCUUUGGGCUGGCCUAGAACUCACCAGGUAGCCCCAGCUGGCCCUGAACCCGUAGGGCUCCUCGCCAGGGGUUGGUUACAGGUUUGGGCCACCACACUUGGCUACCUGGAGUAUUUUGCUCUUCAACAAUAAUGGAAGGGGCUUACAUCUGCAGAGCAUGAAGAUGGUUAGUUCUUGGCCUUGUAAUAGGUUUUACUCUUUAGUAGUGCUAUCGAGUCCAAGUGGAUGUUAAAAGUUUGUGCUAACAGCAUGAGACUCUUCAGUUCUUCAUUUUCUUUCUUUCCUUUUGUCUUUUUGAGACAGAGUCUCGCUAUGCAGUUCAGGCUGGCCUUGAGCUCACUUUGUAGGCCAGACUGGUCUCGAAUUCGCAAUGAUCCUCCUGCCUCAGCCUCCCGAGUGCUGAGAUUACAGGUGUGAGCUACCACACCCGGCUACAGUUCUUUGUUUUCCAAUGUCUCCGGGUAUAGACACACUUUGGAACCUUCCAGAGCCUCUUGGAAGGAGACAGAGACAGAACAUUCUCCUCUUUGGUGUGCACGUGAGACUUGAAAUGGUAAGCUCCAGACUCUAAUGGUGUCAAGCAUAAAAAGAAUCUGGAAUGUACAAACCUAGCUUCUUUCCAGGAAAGAUUGGGUUUUCUUCCCAAACGUCCCUGGUUUUCAUCAAAACUUGAAACAUAGCCAGCCUGAACGCACCUGCCCUCUGGCUCUGUGUUGGAAGACAGGAGAGACGGAGGAGCUUUGAGUUUUCGUUUUGCUUUCCCUCUGACUGUGGGCAGGCAGCUUUGCUCCUUCGGGCUUCAUGCCUUCGUCUGAGAGAUGAGUGGCCGGACUGCUUGACUUCUCAGCUGAGACUCAAAGAGCAGACCCAAGAAAUAUGUGGCUGUCUGCUUUUUGAAUGCUGAUCACAUGUGAGAGAGAUGGGCAAGCAGCAGAAGAUACUGAAGAAGACACUGAACAAAGUCUCACUGCAGCCUGGCUGGCCUCACCGUAUAGCCAUCCUCCUGCCUCGUCUCCUGAGUGCUGGGAUUACAGGUGGAAUCAGGCAUUUCCAUCACCGCAGGAAAUCCCUUCCCAGCCCAUCCUUGCCUCCCCCAGCAAGUCGGUGACAUUUCUGGUUGGCUUCGAUGACUCUGGGAUGCCCUGGAAGUGCAGUCAUUGUGGGUGGCCUUCUCACAUUUGCCUUGGUGUUUUCGAGAUCUGGCCACACACACAGAUGCCGAUUUUAUCCCGGAGUGGUAUUCCCCUAUGUGAUACUGUGUGACUUAUUUUUCUGCUCCCUUUCUCUUUUUUUGUAUUACUUGUACCCUCUUAUCUGCUCCCUUUCGAUGGACACCGAGUUGUCCCCAGGUUUGAACUAUCCUGAAUAAAAGUGCCCAGCUGCUUUGGCA
This is a long non-coding RNA of Cavia porcellus (domestic guinea pig), 13460 nucleotides long. RefSeq lists it as uncharacterized. The record is from RefSeq and is a predicted model, not a curated record. Lineage: Eukaryota; Metazoa; Chordata; Mammalia; Rodentia; Caviidae. The transcript is spliced from 8 exons.